GUGUGUGGAUACAGAUUGGAAUGAGUACACAAGUAAAAACUACAGACAUUAAAAAAGUCGCAGCAGCGAUUUUGCAUGUUGAAUUUUAGUUGUUUCUUGUAAAUAGGUUUUGUUGAUAUGUAUAAGAAGAGUAAAAGAUUUUGUGUACAUGUUGACGGGUUCAACCUGAAACUGAUCCGUUAUCGUUUAUAAAAUGCCAUUUUCAUCCCUGAGGUUUGACUAGUU
Molecule: long non-coding RNA, 225 nt
Filed under: Helianthus annuus (common sunflower)
Lineage: Eukaryota; Viridiplantae; Streptophyta; Magnoliopsida; Asterales; Asteraceae
Description: sRNA HanXRQr2_Chr04g0154331
Source: RNAcentral